AGUGGGGAAUAUUGGACAAUGGGCGAAAGCCUGAUCCAGCCAUGCCGCGUGAGUGAUGAAGGCCCUAGGGUUGUAAAGCUCUUUCACCGGUGAAGAUAAUGACGGUAACCGGAGAAGAAGCCCCGGCUAACUUCGUGCCAGCAGCCGCGGUAAUACGAAGGGGGCUAGCGUUGUUCGGAAUUACUGGGCGUAAAGCGCACGUAGGCGGACUAUUAAGUCAGGGGUGAAAUCCCGGGGCUCAACCCCGGAACUGCCUUUGAUACUGGUAGUCUCGAGUCCGGAAGAGGUGAGUGGAAUUCCGAGUGUAGAGGUGAAAUUCGUAGAUAUUCGGAGGAACACCAGUGGCGAAGGCGGCUCACUGGUCCGGUACUGACGCUGAGGUGCGAAAGCGUGGGGAGCAAA
Molecule: ribosomal RNA, 402 nt
Filed under: uncultured Mesorhizobium sp.
Lineage: Bacteria; Pseudomonadati; Pseudomonadota; Alphaproteobacteria; Hyphomicrobiales; Phyllobacteriaceae
Also listed under: 1 other name
Description: bacterial SSU rRNA
Rfam family: Bacterial small subunit ribosomal RNA
Source: RNAcentral